UACGGAGGGUCCAAGCGUUAUCCGGAUUCAUUGGGUUUAAAGGGUGCGCAGGCGGGCUUGUAAGUCAGUGGUGAAAUUCUGCAGCUUAACUGUAGAACUGCCAUUGAUACUGCAAGUCUUGAAUAUGGUUGAGGUAGGCGGAAUGUGUUGUGUAGCGGUGAAAUGCAUAGAUAUGACACAGAACGCCAAUUGCGAAGGCAGCUUACUAAGCCAUGAUUGACGCUGAGGCACGAAAGCGUGGGGAGCGAAC
RNAcentral lists this ribosomal RNA (250 nucleotides) under uncultured bacterium. RNAcentral describes it as "partial 16S ribosomal RNA". It matches the Rfam family "Bacterial small subunit ribosomal RNA", at positions 524 to 773 of the family's 1533-position model. The record is from RNAcentral.